This 375-nucleotide ribosomal RNA is filed under the name Triticum aestivum (bread wheat). RNAcentral's name for it is "partial small subunit ribosomal RNA". Lineage: Eukaryota; Viridiplantae; Streptophyta; Magnoliopsida; Poales; Poaceae. The record is from RNAcentral.
AUGUAUGAGCUGCCAACAGCUCAUCCAUCUCACCAACCUAACAGGGUCUGCUUCUUCCAGGAUGAGCACCGGAUCAGCGUCGACGUGUGUGCCCGCAAGGUCGUGGGUUGCAAGGUCUAUGAGUUGGUUGAGCCACCGCGCGAAGACAUCACUUCCCGCUUCGUUCACGCUUGGCCGCUGCCAUCGGCUCUCUGCUCAGGGCUAGCAUUUCAGUUGUUGCUGCAAAUGUUGAUAUUCUCAAAGGCUAGCUUGUGUUUAUUGAUGCUCCAGCUGCAAGACAGAGACACGCCACCAUGCGAUGAUUCUUCUUCCACUCGCAGGCCUCCCACUCUAGUAACUCUUUUUCUACUCCAGCAUAGCAUAGCUGGUGCCUAG